CUUCCGUAGGUGAACCUGCGGAAGGAUCAUUACAGUAUUCUUUUGCCAGCGCUUAACUGCGCGGCGAAAAACCUUACACACAGUGUCUUUUUGAUACAGAACUCUUGCUUUGGUUUGGCCUAGAGAUAGGUUGGGCCAGAGGUUUAACAAAACACAAUUUAAUUAUUUUUACAGUUAGUCAAAUUUUGAAUUAAUCUUCAAAACUUUCAACAACGGAUCUCUUGGUUCUCGCAUCGAUGAAGAACGCAGCGAAAUGCGAUAAGUAAUAUGAAUUGCAGAUUUUCGUGAAUCAUCGAAUCUUUGAACGCACAUUGCGCCCUCUGGUAUUCCAGAGGGCAUGCCUGUUUGAGCGUCAUUUCUCUCUCAAACCCCCGGGUUUGGUAUUGAGUGAUACUCUUAGUCGGACUAGGCGUUUGCUUGAAAAGUAUUGGCAUGGGUAGUACUAGAUAGUGCUGUCGACCUCUCAAUGUAUUAGGUUUAUCCAACUCGUUGAAUGGUGUGGCGGGAUAUUUCUGGGAUUGUUGGCCCGUCCUUACAACAACCAAACAAGUUUGACCUCAAAUCAGGUAGGAAUACCCGCUGAACUUUAAGCAUAUCACUACUCGGAGGA
This 610-nucleotide ribosomal RNA is filed under the name Meyerozyma guilliermondii. RNAcentral describes it as "eukaryotic LSU rRNA". The stretch from base 202 to 355 matches the Rfam family "5.8S ribosomal RNA". The record is from RNAcentral. Lineage: Eukaryota; Fungi; Ascomycota; Pichiomycetes; Serinales; Debaryomycetaceae.